Oncorhynchus tshawytscha (Chinook salmon) is the source of this 1537-nucleotide long non-coding RNA. RefSeq lists it as uncharacterized. The record is from RefSeq and is a predicted model, not a curated record. NCBI's taxonomy places the organism in Eukaryota, Metazoa, Chordata, Actinopteri, Salmoniformes, Salmonidae. The transcript is spliced from 2 exons.
AACCCUCCUUCCAGUCCAAGCCCCAACCCUCCUUCCAGUCCAAGCCCCAACCCUCCUUCCAGCCCAAGCCCCAACCCUCUCUCCAGCCCCUGCCACAGCCCAAGCAUAAACCUCCCAUCCCCAGCUACCUAGCCCAGCAGAAAGGACCCCUUCCUCCAGCCAUCCUGCCCCCAAGCCCCACUCAACACCUCACACACACAGACCUGACCCCCCAACAGACCCUCACCCCCCUGCCCACUCACCAAACCCAAAAUACCAUCAGACGUGUUACAGAGAGGAAAGUCUAAUCUGGCGCCACCUGGUGGACAUAAGAAACCCAGCAGAUCCCAAAACAACAUCUCAGGGAGAAGACGAGGACCAACACUGGACAACGGCGCUCAGUGAGAUUACUGAGACAUCUAACUGGAAAUCUCUUCUCUCUCUGUGAGCUGCGUCUUUUCCCAAGGUUGUCCAAAGAGGAACAUCACCUUCAGCCUUUCUGAAGAAAAUGACACUGUAGGAAAGGAGAGAGGAGGGCCACGGCUGGACACACAGGGACUCAGUCCAAAAUGGCACCCUAAAAGUAGUGCACGAUAUUGGAAAUAGGGUUCAGUUUCAGAUCUGUCCAGGGAUGCCAUUACUAUAGAAUUAUACUAAUGCUAGCCUGGUAGCCUCUGUUUGCCAGGCUCAGUGUUUGUAUUUCAUUCCAACAACAAAGACAAAGGAGUUGCCUGAUGAACAAACAUCUCUGGCUACUAGGCUAGCUGCCAGGCUAUGUCUUGCCUUACCACUUGAAACCAGGCGUCCUGUAUACUUGUAAUAUUUAAGAAUGGACUUUAUCGACUGAUUUAGUUCUUGUAGAUGGUACCUUAUACCAUGGGUUAACAGUAUCAUGUGUUGAUAUGCUGUUUCAGGUCUAUUUAUUUGCAACGCUUCAGAGAAAAGAGACUAGUGUUUAAAGUGGAUGUACUGUAUAUUGUUUCUACAAGAGCACGAGUCUUAAGGGAACAUCUUAUGUUAAGAAAACGCCUUGUAUUGAAUGAUGCUUAAUGCUUCUAGUAUGUGAAUAAACGAUAGACUGGAAUUAUAAGGACACAAACAUGCAUGUUAUUAUUGCUACAUGUGUAUGCCUAAGAUGAAGGACAUCUCAAAUGUAGCAAUAACUAUUUGAAAAUGACAUUGUUUUGUUAUGACUGUUUUUUAAAUGUAUUUCCUGUAUAUUGCACUGUUCUUGUUGUGUUGGGUUCUAAAUUCAGGUUUUCUGACUGAAUGGAUGAAUGGAUAUUUGGACACCUGGAAGGUUUUUGUUCCUGUGUAACUACAUACAGUAUGUUAUCUUUUGAAAUGUGAUGCACAGGACAGCAGAGUCAACACAAUUAUAGUCAGGCCCAUAAAAUGAAUUUAUAUCAAAUAAUCUGGUUUUCCUUGAUUGUUGAAAUUCACCAUCCACCAUGAGACCUAUGCAAACAGUGUGCCUUCAGUUUGAUUUUAAAUAAAGUGUUUAGAAACAGGACUACGUCGUUCAGUUUGAUUUUAAAUAAAGUGUUUAGAAACAGGA